ACUCCUACGGGAGGCAGCAGUGGGGAAUAUUGCACAAUGGGGGGAAACCCUGAUGCAGCCAUGCCGCGUGUGUGAAGAAGGCCUUCGGGUUGUAAAGCACUUUCAGUAGGGAGGAAGGUAGUGUAGUUAACACCUGCAUUAUUUGUACGUUACCUACAGAAGAAGCACCGGCUAACUCCGUGCCAGCAGCCGCGGUAAGUACGGAGGGUGCGAGCGUUAAUCGGAAUUACUGGGCGUAAAGCGCAUGCAGGCGGCCUGUUAAGUCAGAUGUGAAAGCCCGGGGCUUAACCUCGGAAUUGCAUUUGAAACUGGCAGGCUAGAGUCUUGUAGAGGGGUUAGAAUUUCGA
This 347-nucleotide ribosomal RNA is filed under the name uncultured bacterium. RNAcentral's name for it is "bacterial SSU rRNA". It matches the Rfam family "Bacterial small subunit ribosomal RNA", at positions 335 to 671 of the family's 1533-position model. The record is from RNAcentral.